CAGUCGAACGAACUCUGGUAUUGAUUGGUGCUUGCAUCAUGAUUUACAUUUGAGUGAGUGGCGAACUGGUGAGUAACACGUGGGAAACCUGCCCAGAAGCGGGGGAUAACACCUGGAAACAGAUGCUAAUACCGCAUAACAACUUGGACCGCAUGGUCCGAGCUUGAAAGAUGGCUUCGGCUAUCACUUUUGGAUGGUCCCGCGGCGUAUUAGCUAGAUGGUGGGGUAACGGCUCACCAUGGCAAUGAUACGUAGCCGACCUGAGAGGGUAAUCGGCCACAUUGGGACUGAGACACGGCCCAAACUCCUACGGGAGGCAGCAGUAGGGAAUCUUCCACAAUGGACGAAAGUCUGAUGGAGCAACGCCGCGUGAGUGAAGAAGGGUUUCGGCUCGUAAAACUCUGUUGUUAAAGAAGAACAUAUCUGAGAGUAACUGUUCAGGUAUUGACGGUAUUUAACCAGAAAGCCACGGCUAACUACGUGCCAGCAGCCGCGGUAAUACGUAGGUGGCAAGCGUUGUCCGGAUUUAUUGGGCGUAAAGCGAGCGCAGGCGGUUUUUUAAGUCUGAUGUGAAAGCCUUCGGCUCAACCGAAGAAGUGCAUCGGAAACUGGGAAACUUGAGUGCAGAAGAGGACAGUGGAACUCCAUGUGUAGCGGUGAAAUGCGUAGAUAUAUGGAAGAACACCAGUGGCGAAGGCGGCUGUCUGGUCUGUAACUGACGCUGAGGCUCGAAAGUAUGGGUAGCAAACAGGAUUAGAUACCCUGGUAGUCCAUACCGUAAACGAUGAAUGCUAAGUGUUGGAGGGUUUCCGCCCUUCAGUGCUGCAGCUAACGCAUUAAGCAUUCCGCCUGGGGAGUACGGCCGCAAGGCUGAAACUCAAAGGAAUUGACGGGGGCCCGCACAAGCGGUGGAGCAUGUGGUUUAAUUCGAAGCUACGCGAAGAACCUUACCAGGUCUUGACAUACUAUGCAAAUCUAAGAGAUUAGACGUUCCCUUCGGGGACAUGGAUACAGGUGGUGCAUGGUUGUCGUCAGCUCGUGUCGUGAGAUGUUGGGUUAAGUCCCGCAACGAGCGCAACCCUUAUUAUCAGUUGCCAGCAUUAAGUUGGGCACUCUGGUGAGACUGCCGGUGACAAACCGGAGGAAGGUGGGGAUGACGUCAAAUCAUCAUGCCCCUUAUGACCUGGGCUACACACGUGCUACAAUGGAUGGUACAACGAGUUGCGAACUCGCGAGAGUAAGCUAAUCUCUUAAAGCCAUUCUCAGUUCGGAUUGUAGGCUGCAACUCGCCUACAUGAAGUCGGAAUCGCUAGUAAUCGCGGAUCAGCAUGCCGCGGUGAAUACGUUCCCGGGCCUUGUACACACCGCCCGUCACACCAUGAGAGUUUGUAACACCCAAAGUCGGUGGGGUAACCUUUUAG
RNAcentral lists this ribosomal RNA (1421 nucleotides) under Lactiplantibacillus plantarum. RNAcentral describes it as "bacterial SSU rRNA". It matches the Rfam family "Bacterial small subunit ribosomal RNA". Lineage: Bacteria; Bacillati; Bacillota; Bacilli; Lactobacillales; Lactobacillaceae. The record is from RNAcentral.